Molecule: ribosomal RNA, 805 nt
Filed under: Beltrania rhombica
Lineage: Eukaryota; Fungi; Ascomycota; Sordariomycetes; Amphisphaeriales; Beltraniaceae
Description: partial 28S ribosomal RNA
Rfam family: Eukaryotic large subunit ribosomal RNA
Source: RNAcentral
GUAACGGCGAGUGAAGCGGGAACAGCUCAAAUUUGAAAUCUGGCCUUCGGGUCCGAAUUGUAAUUUGCAGAGGAUGCUUUUGGUUAGGUACUUUCCGAGUUCCCUGGAACGGGACGCCUUAGAGGGUGAGAGCCCCGUACGGUUGGAUACCGAGCCUUUGUAAAGCUCCUUCGACGAGUCGAGUAGUUUGGGAAUGCUGCUCUAAAUGGGAGGUAAAUUUCUUCUAAAGCUAAAUACCGGCCAGAGACCGAUAGCGCACAAGUAGAGUGAUCGAAAGAUGAAAAGCACUUUGAAAAGAGGGUUAAAUAGCACGUGAAAUUGUUGAAAGGGAAGCGUUUAUGACCAGACUUUUUCCAGGCGAAUCAUCCGGUGUUCUCGCCGGUGCACUUCGUCUGGUUGAGGCCAGCAUCGGUUUCCGUGGGGGGAUAAAAGCGGUGGGAAUGUGACUCCUCCGGGAGUGUUAUAGCCCGCCGUAUAAUACCUCCAUGGGGACCGAGGUUCGCGCAUUGCAAGGAUGCUGGCGUAAUGGUCAUCAACGACCCGUCUUGAAACACGGACCAAGGAGUCGAACAUUUGUGCAAGUGUUUGGGUGUUAAACCCUCACGCGUAAUGAAAGUGAACGGAGGUGAGAGCCCUUACGGGUGCAUCAUCGACCGAUCCUGAUGUUUUCGGAUGGAUUUGAGUAAGAGCAUAACUGUUCGGACCCGAAAGAUGGUGAACUAUGCGUGGAUAGGGUGAAGCCAGAGGAAACUCUGGUGGAGGCUCGCAGCGGUUCUGACGUGCAAAUCGAUCGUCAAAUCUGCGC